Molecule: ribosomal RNA, 584 nt
Filed under: Pomatoschistus marmoratus (marbled goby)
Lineage: Eukaryota; Metazoa; Chordata; Actinopteri; Gobiiformes; Gobiidae
Description: partial 16S ribosomal RNA
Rfam family: Bacterial large subunit ribosomal RNA
Source: RNAcentral
CAUCGCCUCUUGAUAUGCAAACAUGAGAGGUCCCGCCUGCCCUGUGACCACAAGUUUAACGGCCGCGGUAUUUUGACCGUGCAAAGGUAGCGUAAUCACUUGUCUUUUAAAUGAAGACCUGUAUGAAUGGCAUAACGAGGGCUAAGCUGUCUCCUCUCCCCAGUCAGUGAAGUUGAUCUUUCCGUGCAGAAGCGGGAAUGAAAACAUAAGACGAGAAGACCCUAUGGAGCUUAAGACACAAGGCAGCAAACGUUAAGACCCCUGAGCAAACAGCUACAACCAAGUUAGCACCUGCCCCUUUGUCUUUGGUUGGGGCGACCGCGGGGGAACGAAAAUCCCCCACGUGGAACAGGACCUGCUCCUCAAGACCAGAGCCUCAGCUCUAGUAAACAGAACAUCUGACCAUAAAGAUCCGGUAGUACCGAUCAACGGACCGAGUUACCCUAGGGAUAACAGCGCAAUCCCCUUUCAGAGCCCAUAUCGACAAGGGGGUUUACGACCUCGAUGUUGGAUCAGGACCCCCUAAUGGUGCAGCCGCUAUUAAGGGUUCGUUUGUUCAACGAUUAAAGUCCUACGUGAUCUGA